CCCAAAUAAACUCAUACUACAACAACCUGUUGAUAAAUAAGUUAACAUCUAUUGAUGAUAAAAGUAAAUUAAAUUUUUAUAAAGCACUUGAGCCAAAUCUAUUGAUCAAACCUUACCUCUCUAACCCAAACUUUGAAUUUAGAAAAUUAAUUACAAAACUUAGAAUCAGUGACCAUUCAUUAUUAAUUGAAAAAGGGAGGCAUUUUAAAAUUCCUCGCGAAGAGAGACUUUGCAAAAAAUGUAAAGUACUAGAUGAUGAGAAACAUUUCCUAAUAAAUUGUUCUCAUAAUUCAAAUAUUAGAUUAACAUAUUUUGAUUGCAUUAAUAGAGAAAGUAAUUUAUUUGCUAAUCUCACUGACAAUGACAAAGUUAUAUAUAUACUUAACCCAUCAACACCAACACAAGUGAAUAAACUAGGAUCCUUUAUAAAAAAGUCAAUGGAACUGAGGACAGGGGACCCUUUAAUAUUUACCUGAAUUUGUGUAUAUAUAUUGAGUUACUUAGUUAUUGUCUUUAUUUGUUUUUGUUGUUGUUAUAUGUCACAAACUGUAAAGUUUAUAUGGCAAUAAAACUUUGAAUUGAAUUGAAUUGAAUUGUUAUUUAA
Molecule: long non-coding RNA, 604 nt
Filed under: Mytilus galloprovincialis (Mediterranean mussel)
Lineage: Eukaryota; Metazoa; Mollusca; Bivalvia; Mytilida; Mytilidae
Source: RNAcentral